GAUGAACGCUGGCGGCGUGCCUAAUACAUGCAAGUCGAGCGAACGGGCCCGACGCUUGCUUCGCUGAUGUUAGCGGCAGGCGUGUGAGUCACACGUGGAUCCCCUCCCUAUAAUACUGGGAUCACUUCGGGAAACCGGAUCUAAUCCCGUAUGAUAUUUUGCACCGCGUGGUUCAAUAGUGAGAUACGGCCGUUCUGUCUGUUCUCGCGGGAUCCGAGCUGCAUUGGCUAGUUGGUAAGGUAACGGCUUACCAAGGCAACGAUGCCUAGCCGACCUGAGAGGGUGAUCGGCGACACUGGAACUGAGACGCGGUCCAGACUCCUACGGGAGGCAGCAGUAGGGAAUCUUACGCAAUGGGCGAAAGCCUGACGGAGCAACGCCGCGUGAGUGAUGAAGGUCUUCGGAUCGUAAAACUCUGUUACUAGGGAAGAACAUAUGUGUAAGUAAAUGUGCACAUCGUGACGGUACCUAAUCAGAAAGCCACGGCUAACUACGUG
RNAcentral lists this ribosomal RNA (497 nucleotides) under uncultured bacterium. Its description in RNAcentral is "partial 16S ribosomal RNA". It matches the Rfam family "Bacterial small subunit ribosomal RNA", at positions 28 to 507 of the family's 1533-position model. The record is from RNAcentral.